Long non-coding RNA from Ailuropoda melanoleuca (giant panda), 511 nucleotides. RefSeq lists it as uncharacterized. NCBI's taxonomy places the organism in Eukaryota, Metazoa, Chordata, Mammalia, Carnivora, Ursidae. The transcript has 3 exons. The record is from RefSeq and is a predicted model, not a curated record.
CUGCAGACAGAGGGACAGAGGGUGGUUGUGGGAGGAGCUUUGCUGGCGUUGAGCUGACGCUCACGGUGCUCCCGCGGAGAAUCCUGCCUCGGAGGUGGGACCCCUGUUGCUUCUCCCCCCUCAGCCUCCUGUCCUCCAUCAGCUCCUAGAGUCAGUCAGCUUGACACAGGUCAGUAUUACCUUCCCACAGACUGCAGCACGGCAGAUUUUCUUCCCUGAAAUCUUUGCAGAAGAUAUUCUGUAUCAAGCUUCUAAUUCAGGCUCUGUGCACGUUUACUGAUCACCUGCUACGCGGCACGCACUUUCUGGAGGACGGUCGAGGCGGGCGUGAGAGCGAGCCAAGCGGGGAGGUGGGCCACUCAAAGCAGGAUUAAGAUGUUGAAGGGACGCAGGGGCUUUGUGGAAUGACUGCAAGCUCAUGGUCUCCAUGGAAAGAGGUUACCUUAAUUUGGUCCCCUUUGCUGAAUAAGAGGCACUGAUCUGGCCAAAGGAAUUUCUUGACACAGGAAUG